Molecule: unclassified non-coding RNA, 2459 nt
Filed under: Hevea brasiliensis (rubber tree)
Lineage: Eukaryota; Viridiplantae; Streptophyta; Magnoliopsida; Malpighiales; Euphorbiaceae
Source: RNAcentral
AUAAAAUGACAAAGCAGUCGGUAUUGCAUUGGUUUACCUUUAUCUCCCUUCAACUCUUCUUUGCUUUCUCUGCUUAAAGAAGCAAGCAUCAUCUCCCUUUCCUGGUUUGUUGAAAACCUUUUGGCCAAGAGGAAACUCACACGAGAAAACGAAAGAAAAAGAAAAACUCGGUUUUCGCUUUCCAGUAAGAUUAUUAGCUUUGUGGGUUUUUGUUUGCUGAUAUCAUGGAGAGAGAUUUUCUGGGUCUUGGUUCCAAAAAUGUUCCCGUUACUGUCAAAAAGGAGCUUACUGAUGGCUAUAAGGAUUCGGUUCCAAUGAGAGGUUCAGCAAUGCAGUGGUCUUUCUUGAAGAAGGUUUCUGCCAUUCCUCAAUUUUUGUCCUUUCAGUCUGGUGUGGAAGAAAAGCCAAGAAAGACUAUUCAUGAUCACAUAUCAUCCUCUGGUUUUACUCCCAUUUCAACUGCUGAUGCUUUUGAUUCUAACCAGAAGCCAUGUUCUAGCAUGAUUCAGAAAAAUAUGACUCUUGAUAAACAAGGUGCAAACCAUUAUGCAAUGACAACCUAUACUGUGAAACAUUUUGAUGCAUAUCCGGUCCAUUGCCCCCAGCAAAUAAGGAUAUUCCCCGUCUCCGACGUUCAAAAUCAAAGAAUUACUGCUUCUAUGAGCAGUCCAGUUUUGCAGUCCCAUUUUUCUUCCACUGGGCACAAUGUGGGUGGUCAUUCCAUGAACUCACAAUUUCUUGCAGGAGUUCCAAUCAUAAGCCCUGUAUCUGUUCAUUCCACUCCAAGUUCCAUUGUUGGCACGGCCGAUCUUAGAAAUGGUUCAAAAUCUUCUGGGGCUCCUGCUCAAUUGACCAUUUUCUAUGCUGGUUCUGUGUUUAUUUAUGAUGAUAUUUCUCCUGAGAAGGCUCAGGCUAUCAUGCUGUUAGCUGGAAAUGGGUCUUCAGUAACUCAGAACAAGACAGUCUCCCCAGCUCAAGUGCAAACACCAAUCCGAAGGCCUUCUGCUGGUGAUGAUCUUGUUGGGAACAAAAUCCAUUCAGCAUCUCCAUGCUCAGGUCUUCCAAGCCCCAUUUCUAUAAGCUCUAGUAGCAAUAAUGAAUUGGCAACAGUGAAAUCAAUGAGAGAUUUAGCAUCCAGAAAUAACCAAACAGAACCACCGAAGGCAGUUAGUUCAGUAGGAACUGGUUCUGCAACUCUGAUUCCAGCAGUGGCUGUACCUCAGGCUCGCAAAGCAUCAUUGGCACGGUUUCUGGAGAAGCGCAAGGAAAGGUAUGUAGUAGUCUUUUAAUUUGGUGGAAAUAGUUUGAAUUUUAUAUAGAACCAUCCUUGACUUUUAUGGAUUGGGCUUUUUAAUUUAUUUGCAAUAUGUGGAUGUAUGACAUUGAAAGUUAAGUUUAUGCUUUUAGGAUUUGGAUUGCUUUAGGACAUGAAAUUCUGCUGUCAUGGCAUAAUAUGUAGUUUCAAUUGUGUGUGAACUGAGUUUCUUCUUAACUAGCAUGGUGACUUUCCAUCUUCCAUGAUGGAUAUGUGCUUCAUAGUCCUUUGUACACAUCAAAAAGAUAACAUUGUUGCAUUGAAUAGUGAUUAUACAUGCUGGAAUCCUUCAUUGAAUCCUAAAAGCUGGAAAAAACUUAAUAAAUGUUACCAAAUGCUUAGUGGUGGAUUCAGUUUUACAUAAAUUGUUGAAGAAUCUUUUUGUUCUGGUAAAUGUUGGAAAUGUCUAUUCCUGAUCUCCAUCUACCAAGAUCAGAUAAUUUUGUCAAAAGACUAUCUCUCCUUGAAUAAAGGAAAGGCCUGAGUUCACUGUAGGUGUGGCGUUUGGAGAGUGCCUAUCUUGAGCUUGUUAGGAGAACUAUAAGGGGGAAAAGAAAAAGAAAAAAAAGGAACAAGAAAAGAGGCAGAUGCCACAGAUAUUUUGGCGCUUGAGGAGUUGAUUAUAGUUAAAUGAUGAACUUGUUUAUUUGUUUGUUCUUCAAUUGGUUCCAACUCAAGUUAAUGAUCUUAAAUUUUUCUGUACGCAUUCAGAGUGAUGAAUACAUCGCCACACAACGUAAGCAAGAAAUCCCUAGAUUGCAGUGCCACUGAAUGUGAUGGUGUGAGUUUUAUCCAUCAAUUCUCUAUCUUCUCCCGGCCAUCAAUGAGCAGUCAAGUACACAGAAGAUUCAAAUCCAAUGCCAUGCACUCUACAAUUAUAAAGGAAGAGAGAUCUUCAUCAACGUGUAUUUUUGUUCUUUAAUUGUAAGCUCAAUUCUUUUUACUUAAAACUGUUAGGUUUCCUCAAUGUCUUAGAUAUAUUGUUCUUACUAUCAGUACCAAUUUUUUGAAUUUUAACUUAAAAUAUGUUGUAAGAAGUAUAAUUUUUCACAUGAUGCAUUUUUCCCUUUAUUUCUAUUCAUAGACUACCACAUUCAUAAUGGAACUGUUUUCAUGGAAGAAUUUACUGUGCUGUGCAGGGGAA